GAGGGGGACUUGCUCAUGAUUCAGCGGCGGACGGGUGAGUAAUGCCUAGGAAUCUGCCUGGUAGUGGGGGACAACGUUUCCAAAGGAACGCUAAUACCGCAACGUCCUACGGGAGAAAGCAGGGGACCUUCGGGCCUUGCGCUAUCAAAUGAACCUAGGUCGGAUUAACUAGUUGGUGGGGUAAAGGCCUACCAAGGCGACCAUCCGUAACUGGUCUGAAAGGAUGAUCAGUCACACUGGAACUGAAACACGGUCCAGACUCCUACGGGAGGCAGCAGUGGGGAAUAUUGGACAAUGGGCGAAAGCCUGAUCCAGCCAUGCCGCGUGUGUGAAGAAGGUCUUCGGAUUGUAAAGCACUUUAAGUUGGGAGGAAGGGCAGUAAGUUAAUACCUUGCUGUUUUGACGUUACCAACAGAAUAAGCACCGGCUAACUUCGUGCCAGCAGCCGCGGUAAUACCAAGGGUGCAAGCGUUAAUCGGAAUUACUGGGCGUAAAGCGCGCGUAAGUGGUUUGGUAAGAUGGAUGUGAAAUCCCCGGGCUCAACCUGGGAACUGCAUCCAUAACUGCCUGACUAGAGUACGGUAGAGGGUGGUGGAAUUUCCUGUGUAGCGGUGAAAUGCGUAGAUAUAGGAAGGAACACCAGUGGCGAAAGCGACCACCUGGACUGAUACUGACACUGAGGUGCGAAAGCGUGGGGAGCAAACAGGAUUAGAUACCCUGGUAGUCCACGCCGUAAACGAUGUCGACUAACCGUUGGAAUCCUUGAGAUUUUAGUGGCGCAGCUAACGCGAUAAGUCGACCGCCUGGGGAGUACGGCCGCAAGGUUAAAACUCAAAUGAAUUGACGGGGGCCCCGCACAAGCGGUGGAGCAUGUGGGUUUAAUUCUAAGCAACGCGGAGAAACUUACCUGGGCCUUGACAUGUCCAGAACCUUUGCAGAGAUGCGAAGGGUGCCUUCGGGGAAUCCGGAACACAGGUGCUGCAUGGGCUGUUCGUCAACUUCGUGUUCUUGAGAUGUUUGGGGUUAAGUUCCCCGUUACGAGCGCCAACCCCUUUGUUCCUUUAGUUUACCAUCAACAUCUCGUUGGGGCGACGUCUAAAGAAGACUGGCCGGGAUGACAAAACCGGAAGAAAAGGUGUGGGAAAUGAUC
RNAcentral lists this ribosomal RNA (1150 nucleotides) under Pseudomonas sp. Its description in RNAcentral is "bacterial SSU rRNA". It matches the Rfam family "Bacterial small subunit ribosomal RNA", at positions 72 to 1186 of the family's 1533-position model. Lineage: Bacteria; Pseudomonadati; Pseudomonadota; Gammaproteobacteria; Pseudomonadales; Pseudomonadaceae. The record is from RNAcentral.